UACGUAGGAGGCAAGCGUUGUCCGGAAUUACUGGGCGUAAAGAGUGUGUAGGCGGUGCUCUAAGUUCGGUGUGAAAUCUCCUGGCUCAACUGGGAGGGUGCGCCGGAAACUGGAGUGCUUGAGCGUGGGAGAGGAAAGCGGAAUUCCUGGUGUAGCGGUGAAAUGCGUAGAUAUCAGGAGGAACACCUGUGGUGUAGACGGCUUUCUGGACCAUAGCUGACGCUGAGACACGAAAGCGUGGGUAGCAAACAGG
Molecule: ribosomal RNA, 253 nt
Filed under: uncultured bacterium
Lineage: Bacteria
Description: partial 16S ribosomal RNA
Rfam family: Bacterial small subunit ribosomal RNA
Source: RNAcentral